CCCUUACGGCCAGGGCUACACACGUGCUACAAUGGUCGGUACAAAGGGUUGCCAAGCCGCGAGGUGGAGCUAAUCCCAUAAAAACCGAUCGUAGUCCGGAUCGCAGUCUGCAACUCGACUGCGUGAAGUCGGAAUCGCUAGUAAUCGUGAAUCAGAAUGUCACCGGUGAAUACGUUCCCGGGCCUU
This 186-nucleotide ribosomal RNA is filed under the name uncultured Pseudomonas sp. RNAcentral's name for it is "partial 16S ribosomal RNA". It matches the Rfam family "Bacterial small subunit ribosomal RNA", at positions 1199 to 1382 of the family's 1533-position model. Lineage: Bacteria; Pseudomonadati; Pseudomonadota; Gammaproteobacteria; Pseudomonadales; Pseudomonadaceae. The record is from RNAcentral.